AACCAGUUUUAAGUUCAUUAGUUGUUUUUUAUUAGUAACUCAGGUAGUUGGAGUUCCUGAGAAACUAUAAUCUAGAUAAUCGUAGUGUAGCAUGGUCUCAAUUCUAACAACCCUGAUUACAAAAUCUCCUAGAAGUAACAGCCAGUUCAAUGAGAUGUAUGAUCAGCUUCAUCUUGUUUGACAAAAAGCAAUUAAGCUGCACAAGAAAAGAUUUAAAAAGCAUUUAGAUAAUCUUUUUCUUAUUUUUUUUGUUAAUUGUAUAUUUGAGUUGUUUCAAACAGUGUAUGAGAGCAUCUGAGAGUAAUACCUACUCUGCUUCAUGUCGAAAUGUUAAAAGUUACCAGAUGUCCUUGAUUCAUCUUGGCAGUCCCCAUGUGCUUUUUGUCAUUUGUCUAAUCGCAGAGGACACUAAUUAAAAUGAAAUAGAGUAGAACUUUGCACUCAGGAUACUUUGUCAAGUUUUGGCACUGUGGUCAAGUUAGUAUUGUUUUGAUUCGAUAUUAAAUAAAGAGCUUAUGGCCCUAAGCCAUGUUGACAUUUGUUUCUGGGAGGGAAGGUGAAAAACCAUUCUUAUUAACCUGCAAUGUGGAACAUAUGGUGGCUGUGGGUGGUAUGGCUAAGUUAGGCAGCCAGGAACCUGCUAUCACUUCACUGUGUGGAGACAGCGGGGUGGGCAAUUACCGCAGAAGGUAGCCACGCUGCUGCUUGCUGCUGUCCAGAAAAGGAAGCUCGAAAUGCGAGGUAUUAUCAAGCCGUUUGCGAGGGUUCAUUUCAGUACUUUCCGUGUUUUGGGUGACAGCUGGAGGCUGCACAUCUCGGAAGCCAUGGGGCUGUAAUAUAAACCGUCUGCUGAAGCAGCUCAACAGGAUUAAGGGGGAAAAAAAAACACGGGGAUAAUCUGAAGUUUUAACUAAUCUUUGAUUAGGAUGCAUGCUCAACUGUAUUUCAAGAUAGUGUGCAUUCACAUGGAUGAGGAGAGCAUAGCUGUUUUAUAAUAUGUAUAAAGCUGAAAAGGCAAUUAAACUAAGAUAAAAUCCAUGCGUUUGGCAGCUGGAGAGAGAGGGCUACACAGUCACUCCACAUGAUCUAAACAACCUUAGAAUGCGUUCCCAUUUACCCUUCCAGUCUUUACAGAUCUUAAAAAAAAACAAAACAAAACAUAUAAAGUGAUAUUUCAUCUAUCCAGGUGAAUAUAUUUAGAAGUGAGGGAAAAAAAAUCAGAUUUCUACUCAAUAGUUUGAAGACCUCAUUUUAUGGCAGCAUUAAAAUCUGCAGGAAAUGCUAUGGCAACGUGUUUCCAUGAGGACACACAGCAAAUAGCUAUGGCAUGUACCUAUGUAUCUGACAUUUGAAGAUAUAAAAGUUGAGUGCUUGCUUUUUAACCUAUAAACACUUUAGACAAUAUAUAUUCUCAUUAAUAUGCAUCUAAGCACUCCACAAAAGAAAAUCAUAGAAUUUACUUAGGGCUGAAUAAGGACUCCAGCUGGAGGCUCAUCAUUUAAUAGUGAUGGAAGAAGAAAAUCUGUAGGUACUGCCUGGUCAUAAGGUCACUGGUAGGACACUACAAAAGCUACAAAAGACCUAAGUACAACCUGUGUUAUAUCAGGCAAAGUACUUAGAGCAGAGAUGUGGAAAUAUGUAUGGCAUAAAGCACUGCUAAGGCCUCUGGAAUACCAUAUGUGAUGCUCAUUCUUGUCCUAAAAAAAAUACAUUCAAACUGCAACAGAUGCAGAGAGGAGCCACUGGGGAAACAAACAGUCUGACAAGAGAGAAAGCAGCCUGGCUUGCUGAGGUCUCCCGAAAGGAAGGCUCAGAGUGCAAGACUGUCUUCUGGAAUCGCACAUAGGCCAAGAGUCAACAUCAAGGGCAGAAAAACUAAGCAGCAAUAGCACAAGAAGAAUACACGUUACCUGUAAAUUUGUUCUUGAAAUCAAACUCUUUUAACUCUUAAGAGCAGUAACAUGAUGGAACAUUUUUAUAAAAAGGAGCAAAAUAUUCAUUAACCUGGAGACAUCCCAGUAUUCCUGGCUAAGUAAGCUGAAAUGCAACACUAAGAAAGCAAACUGCAUUCUCAGAUUUGUCUGUAUCUGAAAAGUUACAUCUAACACUUCUUUAUCUCCAUCCCAAAAGAAAUACUAACUGUAAUGGUAUAUGGUAUGGUUGACUCCUUCUGGCUCGGUGAUUUGUACAACGUUGCCAACCUGGUUAAACAAAAACAAAUAAUAAUCAUCAGUGAUUCAAUAAUACAAAAUUCCAAGUAACCAAAUGAUCAGACCCAAGUUUUCCCACAAUCAUGGAGUAGAUCACCAGUGCAAUUCCUAUGUGUGUAUUUUCAUAUAGGUUGUAUAAAUUGUGGAUGCCAAAAUCCCCUCCCUGUGCGACCUGUCAGCUAAAAUACAAUACAGGCCUACUAACAAAGAAUGACUAAUUAGCCUUGCUUCAUUACAGUAUUUCAUCACUUUUUUGGAACAAUAUUAAUUCUGAAUUAAUUUCAAAUGCCACUUUCUUAAAAUGCAAACAAAAAAGGUUUUGAGCAUAAUUCUUUCCUACUACAUUAAGCAAUCGUUUGUUGCUUCACCUCUCAGGGUUGGGAGAUACUCGAAAGAAUUCAAAAACUUUCUGGGAGUUUUUUUCCUAGGUAUUUCACAAGGCUGUCAAUAUAACCUAGUAGAUGAAGAAUGAGAACAAAAUGUUCUAUUUCUAAGCCUGACCUUGCCACUGACAUACAGCAUAGCUUUGAGUAAAUCAUUUCUCUUGUAUUUCUCCUUUAACACUUUUUUGAUUUUGUUCAUUUAGAUUCUAAGCAAUGUAUCUUGAUUUCUGCUUAUGCAGCACCUAGCCCAGUAACUGCUUGUAUAACACCGACUGAAGAUUGCAAAACACCUCAACAGCAUGAGAUUUUUCAACCAGUUCCAUGACUGCUAGUCUGCACCAAGCCCACCUGCCCAAAACUAAUUCAGAAAGCCUGCCCAAAGCCAAUUCAGAAAGUGUUCUCUCUGUUCCAGGACAGCUUACCAAGGAUCUUGUUAAUUAUUUUUUUUUCCCCUCCCUGAGGUGCCAUUCUAUUAGAGAGCACGUAAUUACAGCCUGAGGAACACUGCCACUUCAUAUUAGCUACGCAGGGAAUUCCUCAGAACAUGUAAGUGGUGGGUUACACUUUACAAAACAGCCUAAAUCUGAAGCUGUAGAAGCCAUGCUUUUACAAGCGCUCAGCUGGAGCUCUGCUGC
Molecule: non-coding RNA, 3228 nt
Organism: Anas platyrhynchos (mallard)
Lineage: Eukaryota; Metazoa; Chordata; Aves; Anseriformes; Anatidae
Source: RefSeq, a predicted model, not a curated record